CCUACGGGAGGCAGCAGUGAGGAAUAUUGGUCAAUGGGCGUAAGCCUGAACCAGCCAAGUCGCGUGAGGGAUGAAGGUUCUAUGGAUCGUAAACCUCUUUUAUAAGGGAAUAAAGUGAGGGACGUGUCCCGUUUUGUAUGUACCUUAUGAAUAAGGAUCGGCUAACUCCGUGCCAGCAGCGGCGGUAAUACGGAGGAUCCGAGCGUUAUCCGGAUUUAUUGGGUUUAAAGGGUGCGGAGGCGUCCUUUUAAGUCAGCGGUGAAAUUCUGUGGCUCAACCAUGGAAUUGCCGUUGAAACUGGGAGGCUUGAGUAUGUUUGCGGCAGGCGGAAUGCGUGGGGUAGCGGGGAAAUGCUUAGAUAUCACGCAGAACCCCGAUUGCGAAGGCAGCCUGCCAAGCCAUGACUGACGCUGAUGCACGAAAGCGUGGGGAUCAAACAGGAUUAGAUACCCGAGUAGUC
RNAcentral lists this ribosomal RNA (460 nucleotides) under uncultured bacterium. RNAcentral's name for it is "partial 16S ribosomal RNA". It matches the Rfam family "Bacterial small subunit ribosomal RNA", at positions 338 to 795 of the family's 1533-position model. The record is from RNAcentral.